This 207-nucleotide ribosomal RNA is filed under the name Salmonella enterica. Its description in RNAcentral is "partial 16S ribosomal RNA". It matches the Rfam family "Bacterial small subunit ribosomal RNA", at positions 908 to 1114 of the family's 1533-position model. The record is from RNAcentral. Lineage: Bacteria; Pseudomonadati; Pseudomonadota; Gammaproteobacteria; Enterobacterales; Enterobacteriaceae.
AAUUGACGGGGGCCCGCACAAGCGGUGGAGCAUGUGGUUUAAUUCGAUGCAACGCGAAGAACCUUACCUGGUCUUGACAUCCACAGAACUUUCCAGAGAUGGACUGGUGCCUUCGGGAACUGUGAGACAGGUGCUGCAUGGCUGUCGUCAGCUCGUGUUGUGAAAUGUUGGGUUAAGUCCCGCAACGAGCGCAACCCUUAUCCUUUG